This is a small nuclear RNA of Sciurus vulgaris (Eurasian red squirrel), 110 nucleotides long. NCBI's taxonomy places the organism in Eukaryota, Metazoa, Chordata, Mammalia, Rodentia, Sciuridae. The record is from Ensembl.
GUGCUCGCUUCUGUAGCAGCAUAUAUACUAGAAUUGGAAUGCUACAGAGAAGAUUAUCAUGGCCCCUGCACAAGGAUGACAUGCAAAUUUGUGAAGCCUUCCACAUAUAU